This 905-nucleotide ribosomal RNA is filed under the name Cortinarius brunneotinctus. Its description in RNAcentral is "partial large subunit ribosomal RNA". It matches the Rfam family "Eukaryotic large subunit ribosomal RNA", at positions 72 to 964 of the family's 3401-position model. The record is from RNAcentral. Lineage: Eukaryota; Fungi; Basidiomycota; Agaricomycetes; Agaricales; Cortinariaceae.
GGAUUCCCCUAGUAACUGCGAGUGAAGCGGGAAAAGCUCAAAUUUAAAAUCUGUCAGUCUUUGGCUGUCCGAGUUGUAAUCUAGAGAAGUGUUAUCUGCGCUGGACCAUGUAUAAGUCUCCUGGAAUGGAGCGUCGUAGAGGGUGAGAAUCCCGUCUUUGACAUGGACUGCCAGGGCUUUGUGAUGCGCUCUCAAAGAGUCGAGUUGUUUGGGAAUGCAGCUCAAAAUGGGUGGUAAAUUCCAUCUAAMGCUAWAUAUUGGCGAGAGACCGAUAGCGAACAAGUACCGUGAGGGAAAGAUGAAAAGAACUUUGGAAAGAGAGUUAAACAGUACGUGAAAUUGCUGAAAGGGAAACGCUUGAAGUCAGUCGCGUUGUCUAGGGAUCAACCUUGCUUUUGCUUGGUGUACUUUCUGGUUGACGGGUCAGCAUCAAUUUUGACUAUUGGAAAAAGAUUAAGGGAAUGUGGCAUCUUUGGAUGUGUUAUAGCCUUUGGUUGCAUACAAUGGUUGGGAUUGAGGAACUCAGCACGCCGCAAGGCCAGGUUUUUAACCAUGUACGUGCUUAGGAUGCUGGCAUAAUGGCUUUAAUCGACCCGUCUUGAAACACGGACCAAGGAGUCUAACAUGCCUGCGAGUGUUUGGGUGGAAAACCCGAGCGCGCAAUGAAAGUGAAAGUUGAGAUCCCUGUCAUGGGGAGCAUCGACGCCCGGACCAGACCUUUUGUGACGGUUCCGCGGUAGAGCAUGUAUGUUGGGACCCGAAAGAUGGUGAACUAUGCCUGAAUAGGGUGAAGCCAGAGGAAACUCUGGUGGAGGCUCGUAGCGAUUCUGACGUGCAAAUCGAUCGUCAAAUUUGGGUAUAGGGGCGAAAGACUAAUCGAAACAUCUAGUAGCUGUUCCUGCGAU